RNAcentral lists this ribosomal RNA (334 nucleotides) under uncultured bacterium. RNAcentral's name for it is "bacterial SSU rRNA". It matches the Rfam family "Bacterial small subunit ribosomal RNA", at positions 569 to 902 of the family's 1533-position model. The record is from RNAcentral.
GCGUAGGCGGUUUUGUAAGUCAGAGGUGAAUGCCCCGGGCUCAACCUGGGAACUGCCUUUGAUACUGCAAGACUUGAGUGUGGUAGAGGGGGGUGGAAUUCCUGGUGUAGCGGUGAAAUGCGUAGAUAUCAGAAGGAACACCGAUGGCGAAGGCAACUUCCUGGACUGAUACUGACGCUGAUGUGCGAAAGCGUGGGGAGCAAACAGGAUUAGAUACCCUGGUAGUCCACGCCGUAAACGAUGUCAACUAGCUGUUGGGAUUCUUGAGAUCUUAGUGGCGCAGCUAACGCAUUAAGUUGACCCCCGGGGGAGUACGGCCGCAAGGUUAAACCUC